RNAcentral lists this ribosomal RNA (140 nucleotides) under uncultured methanogenic archaeon. RNAcentral describes it as "partial 16S ribosomal RNA". It matches the Rfam family "Archaeal small subunit ribosomal RNA", at positions 579 to 718 of the family's 1478-position model. Lineage: Archaea; Methanobacteriati; Methanobacteriota. The record is from RNAcentral.
GGAUACUGUCAAACUUGGAACCGGGAGAGGUAAGAGGUACUUCGGGGGUAGGAGUGAAAUCUUGUAAUCCUUGUGGGACCACCGGUGGCGAAGGCGUCUUACCAGAACGGGUUCGACGGUGAGGGACGAAAGCUGGGGGC